RNAcentral lists this ribosomal RNA (596 nucleotides) under uncultured archaeon. RNAcentral describes it as "bacterial SSU rRNA". It matches the Rfam family "Archaeal small subunit ribosomal RNA", at positions 229 to 825 of the family's 1478-position model. The record is from RNAcentral.
GUAGUAGUGGGUGUAGCGUACCUACUAGCCUACGACGGGUACGGGUUGUGAGAGCAAGAGCCCGGAGAUGGAUUCUGAGACACGAAUCCAGGCCCUACGGGGUGCAGCAGGCGCGAAAACUUUACAAUGCUGGCAACAGCGAUAAGGGAACCUCGAGUGCCAGGUUACAAAUCUGGCUGUCGAGAUGCCUAAAAAGCAUUUCAUAGCAAGGGCCGGGCAAGACCGGUGCCAGCCGCCGCGGUAACACCGGCGGCUCGAGUGAUAACCGUUAUUAUUGGGUCUAAAGGGUCUGUAGCCGGCCGGAUAAGUCUCUUGAGAAAUCUGGCAGCUUAACUGUCAGGCUUUCAGGAGAUACUGUCUGGCUCGAGGCCGGGAGAGGUGAGAGGUACUUCAGGGGUAGGGGUGAAAUCUUGUAAUCCUUGAAGGACCACCAGUGGCGAAGGCGUCUCACCAGAACGGACCUGACGGCAAGGGACGAAAGCUAGGGGCACGAACCGGAUUAGAUACCCGGGUAGUCCUAGCCGUAAACGAUACUCGCUAGGUGUCGGCCACGGUGCGACCGUUGUCGGUGCCGUAGGGAAGCCGUGAAGCGAGCC